UCUCCGUUGGUGAACCAGCGGAGGGAUCAUUACCGAGUUUUCUACUCCCAAACCCCUGUGAACUUAUACCUUCACCGUUGCUUCGGCGGGUUAACGCCCCGGAAAGGCCCCCGAAAGGGAGCCGCCCCGGAACCAGGCGCCCGCCGGGGGACCCAAACUCUUGUAUUUUCUUACCUAGCAUGUCUGAGUGGAAUCAUAAACAAAUGAAUCAAAACUUUCAACAACGGAUCUCUUGGUUCUG
This 241-nucleotide unclassified non-coding RNA is filed under the name plant metagenome. RNAcentral describes it as "partial contains small subunit ribosomal RNA, internal transcribed spacer 1, and 5.8S ribosomal RNA". The record is from RNAcentral.